AGAUUGAACGCUGGCGGCAUGCCUUACACAUGCAAGUCGAACGGCAGCACGGGAGCAAUCCUGGUGGCGAGUGGCGAACGGGUGAGUAAUAUAUCGGAACGUGCCCAGUCGUGGGGGAUAACGCAGUGAAAGCUGUGCUAAUACCGCAUACGAUCUA
RNAcentral lists this ribosomal RNA (157 nucleotides) under uncultured soil bacterium. Its description in RNAcentral is "partial 16S ribosomal RNA". It matches the Rfam family "Bacterial small subunit ribosomal RNA", at positions 26 to 182 of the family's 1533-position model. The record is from RNAcentral.